AUUGAACGCUGGCGGCAUGCCUUACACAUGCAAGUCGAACGGCAGCACGGGAGCUUGCUCCUGGUGGCGAGUGGCGAACGGGUGAGUAAUGCAUCGGAACGUGCCCUGAAGUGGGGGAUAACGUAGCGAAAGUUACGCUAAUACCGCAUAUUCUGUGAGCAGGAAAGCAGGGGAUCUUCGGACCUUGCGCUUUUGGAGCGGCCGAUGUCGGAUUAGCUAGUUGGUGGGGUAAAGGCCCACCAAGGCGACGAUCCGUAGCGGGUCUGAGAGGAUGAUCCGCCACACUGGAACUGAGACACGGCCCAGACUCCUACGGGAGGCAGCAGUGGGGAAUUUUGGACAAUGGGCGCAAGCCUGAUCCAGCCAUGCCGCGUGAGUGAAGAAGGCCUCGGUUGUAAGCUCUUCGUGGAGAAU
RNAcentral lists this ribosomal RNA (414 nucleotides) under uncultured bacterium. RNAcentral describes it as "bacterial SSU rRNA". It matches the Rfam family "Bacterial small subunit ribosomal RNA", at positions 30 to 445 of the family's 1533-position model. The record is from RNAcentral.